Molecule: ribosomal RNA, 465 nt
Filed under: uncultured bacterium
Lineage: Bacteria
Description: bacterial SSU rRNA
Rfam family: Bacterial small subunit ribosomal RNA
Source: RNAcentral
GAUCAUGGCUCAGGAUGAACGCUGGCGGCGUGCCUAACACAUGCAAGUCGAGCGAUUCUCUUCGGGAGAAGAGCGGCGGACGGGUGAGUAACGCGUGGGUAACCUGCCCUGUACACACGGAUAACAUACCGAAAGGUAUGCUAAUACGAGAUAAUAUACUUUUAUCGCAUGGUAGAAGUAUCAAAGCUCCGGCGGUACAGGAUGGACCCGCGUCUGAUUAGCUAGUUGGUAAGGUAACGGCUUACCAAGGCGACGAUCAGUAGCCGACCUGAGAGGGUGAUCGGCCACAUUGGAACUGAGACACGGUCCAAACUCCUACGGGAGGCAGCAGUGGGGAAUAUUGCACAAUGGCGAAAGCCUGAUGCAGCAACGCCGCGUGAGCGAUGAAGGCCUUCGGGUCGUAAAGCUCUGUCCUCAAGGAAGAUAAUGACGGUACUUGAGGAGGAAGCCCCGGCUAACUACGUG